Xyrichtys novacula (pearly razorfish) is the source of this 847-nucleotide non-coding RNA. The record is from the annotation of a GenBank genome assembly. NCBI's taxonomy places the organism in Eukaryota, Metazoa, Chordata, Actinopteri, Labriformes, Labridae.
UGAAUUUAGGCCUGUCGCGAUAAUCAAUAAAUCGCCUUAUCGCUCGGUAAAUAAAAACGAGGUCGGUCAUUUUGCCAGCCUCGAUAAUUAACGUGCGUUUGUUUUCCUCCUCUCUCGCUACCAAACACGCUGGAUGAGAGAAGAGGUCUCACUCUGCGCAUUGUUCUCGGCACCUGGGGGCGUUGGCUCUAUAGCGGAAUGAACGGAGUUAGUGAACCCUCCUGUCAGUCAUUCAGUAUCUUUGUCACGGGGGGGCGCGCGCACAGGUACACGUAGGCGCGCACAGGCACACAGACACAGACUUUUGGAUACAGUGCUGCAAGUGAGCGUCGUGAGUGAAAAGCAAGCAAACAGAAUGAACACGACAGCUUUGGUGUCUAAACCGAACGCAACAGCCCAAGUGUGGGAAUAUUUCGGCUUUAAACCAGUUUUGUUUUCGUCAACCUCCACGUGUGUGUGCGCGCUCGCGCGUUUGUGUGUUUGUGUGUUGGAGGAGCACAGCAGGCUGAUGAGAGCUGUCAGAGCGGACUGAAGCUGCUCCUAUAUGUUUAGCGUUUAACUGACUGAGUUUUGCAACUCUGUUCGUCAUUUUCGUCUCGUCCCAUCAACGUAAACGCACUUUCGUCUCGUCACAUUUUAGUCAUCUCCGACUUAAGUUUAGCUCGUCAACGUUACGUCUUCGUCGUGGGUGAAAUUAAAGUUUAUCACUUUUGACAGGGUGUACUCGCAUUAUUAUGCCAUUUAAUAUCAUUAUCUAUAAUUUAAAAAACGGUGUCAAUAAUAUCGUUUAUCGGCAAUAAUUUGUAGCACAAUUAUCGUCCAGCAAAAUUUGUUAUCGUGACAGGCC